AUGUACCCCCCAACACUUCGGUUCCUCCGUGCCGUCCGCCCCCACCUGAAGACUGCUCGCUACGGUUUGUUAGCC
This 75-nucleotide small RNA is filed under the name Xanthomonas campestris. Its description in RNAcentral is "sRNA sX9". It matches the Rfam family "Xanthomonas sRNA sX9". Lineage: Bacteria; Pseudomonadati; Pseudomonadota; Gammaproteobacteria; Lysobacterales; Lysobacteraceae. The record is from RNAcentral. RNAcentral also lists the same sequence under 2 other names.